RNAcentral lists this ribosomal RNA (253 nucleotides) under uncultured bacterium. RNAcentral's name for it is "partial 16S ribosomal RNA". It matches the Rfam family "Bacterial small subunit ribosomal RNA", at positions 524 to 776 of the family's 1533-position model. The record is from RNAcentral.
UACGGGGGGAGCAAGCGUUGUUCGGAUUUACUGGGCGUAAAGGGCGCGUAGGCGGCGCAACAAGUCACUUGUGAAAUCUCCGGGCUUAACCCGGAGCGGCCAAGUGAUACUGUCGUGCUAGAGUGCGGAAGGGGCUACUGGAAUUCCUGGUGUAGCGGUGAAAUGCGCAGAUAUCAGGAGGAACACCGGUGGCGAAGGCGGGUCUCUGGGCCGAUACUGACGCUGAGGAGCGAAAGCGUGGGGAGCGAACAGG